ACCGAAUAGAUACCCUGGUAGUCCACGCCGUAAACGUUGGGCGCUAGGUGUGGGGGUCCUUCCACGACCUCCGUGCCGCAGCUAAACGCAUUAAGCGCCCCGCCUGGGGAGUACGGCCGCAAGGCUAAAACUCAAAGGAAUUGACGGGGGCCCGCACAAGCGGCGGAGCAUGCGGAUUAAUUCGAUGCAACGCGAAGAACCUUACCAAGGCUUGACAUGUACAGGAAAGUUCCAGAGAUGGUUCCCCCGCAAGGUCUGUACACAGGUGGUGCAUGGUUGUCGUCAGCUCGUGUCGUGAGAUGUUGGGUUAAGUCCCGCAACGAGCGCAACCCUCGUCUUAUGUUGCCAGCACGUAAUGGUGGGAACUCAUAAGAGACUGCCGGGGUCAACUCGGAGGAAGGUGGGGAUGACGUCAAAUCAUCAUGCCCCUUAUGUCUUGGGCUUCACGCAUGCUACAAUGGCCGGUACAAUGGGCUGCAAUACCGUAAGGUGGAGCGAAUCCCAAAAAGCCGGUCUCAGUUCGGAUUGGGGUCUGCAACUCGACCCC
This 547-nucleotide ribosomal RNA is filed under the name uncultured bacterium. RNAcentral describes it as "bacterial SSU rRNA". It matches the Rfam family "Bacterial small subunit ribosomal RNA", at positions 772 to 1319 of the family's 1533-position model. The record is from RNAcentral.